AUUGAACGCUGGCGGCAGGCCUAACACAUGCAAGUCGAGCGGUAGCACAGAGAGCUUGCUCUCGGGUGACGAGCGGCGGACGGGUGAGUAAUGUCUGGGAAACUGCCUGAUGGAGGGGGAUAACUACUGGAAACGGUAGCUAAUACCGCAUAAUGUCGCAAGACCAAAGUGGGGGACCUUCGGGCCUCAUGCCAUCAGAUGUGCCCAGAUGGGAUUAGCUAGUAGGUGGGGUAACGGCCCACCUAGGCGACGAUCCCUAGCUGGUCUGAGAGGAUGACCAGCCACACUGGAACUGAGACACGGUCCAGACUCCUACGGGAGGCAGCAGUGGGGAAUAUUGCACAAUGGGCGCAAGCCUGAUGCAGCCAUGCCGCGUGUGUGAAGAAGGCCUUCGGGUUGUAAAGCACUUUCAGCGGGGAGGAAGGCGAUAAGGUUAAUAACCUUGUCGAUUGACGUUACCCGCAGAAGAAGCACCGGCUAACUCCGUGCCAGCAGCCGCAGUAA
Molecule: ribosomal RNA, 504 nt
Filed under: uncultured bacterium
Lineage: Bacteria
Description: partial 16S ribosomal RNA
Rfam family: Bacterial small subunit ribosomal RNA
Source: RNAcentral